This 97-nucleotide small RNA is filed under the name Pedobacter terrae. RNAcentral's name for it is "Flavo-1 RNA". It matches the Rfam family "Flavo-1 RNA". Lineage: Bacteria; Pseudomonadati; Bacteroidota; Sphingobacteriia; Sphingobacteriales; Sphingobacteriaceae. The record is from RNAcentral.
AAAUAGCCCUGAUGGGAGCGGUAUCCCUUUUGGGCAAGACAAAAUUGUUUAUGAAAACAGUAUUUCCCAAAAGGAUAAAACGUACAGCGGACGGAAC